UACGUAGGGACCGAGCGUUGUCCGGAAUCAUUGGGCGUAAAGAGCGUGUAGGCGGCCACUUAAGUCCUGCGUGAAAUCUUGCGGCUCAACCGCAAGCGGUCGUGGGAAACUGGGUGGCUAGAGUGCGGGAGAGGAGAGUGGAAUUCCUGGUGUAGCGGUGGAAUGCGCAGAUAUCAGGAGGAACACCUGUGGUGUAGACGGCUUUCUGGACCAUAGCUGACGCUGAGACACGAAAGCGUGGGUAGCAAACAGG
This 253-nucleotide ribosomal RNA is filed under the name uncultured bacterium. RNAcentral describes it as "partial 16S ribosomal RNA". It matches the Rfam family "Bacterial small subunit ribosomal RNA", at positions 524 to 776 of the family's 1533-position model. The record is from RNAcentral.